Molecule: ribosomal RNA, 395 nt
Filed under: uncultured bacterium
Lineage: Bacteria
Description: bacterial SSU rRNA
Rfam family: Bacterial small subunit ribosomal RNA
Source: RNAcentral
UAACGCGAAGAACCUUACCAGGUCUUGACAUACUAUGCAAAUCUAAGAGAUUAGACGUUCCCUUCGGGGACAUGGAUACAGGUGGUGCAUGGUUGUCGUCAGCUCGUGUCGUGAGGUGUUGGGUUAAGUCCCGCAACGAGCGCAACCCUUAUUAUCAGUUGCCAGCAUUCAGUUGGGCACUCUGGUGAGACUGUCGGUGACAAACCGGAGGAAGGUGGGGAUGACGUCAAAUCAUCAUGCCCCUUAUGACCUGGGCUACACACGUGCUACAAUGGACGGUACAACGAGUUGCGAAGUCGUGAGGCUAAGCUAAUCUCUUAAAGCCGUUCUCAGUUCGGAUUGUAGGCUGCAACUCGCCUACAUGAAGUUGGAAUCGCUAGUAAUCGCGGAUCAGC